This 269-nucleotide unclassified non-coding RNA is filed under the name Hevea brasiliensis (rubber tree). The record is from RNAcentral. Lineage: Eukaryota; Viridiplantae; Streptophyta; Magnoliopsida; Malpighiales; Euphorbiaceae.
AGAGGGUUAUGUUUUACUGCUGAGCUGAGGGUUAUGUUGCGCCUCUGAGCGGGAGUGUUACGUUCUGCUGCUGAGUGGGUGGUAACUAUGGGACUGCUAUGAUAUUGGUAUUUCUGGUUAGCUUUUCUUUUGAAUAUAGAAACUUGCGUACUAGUGCGUGUUGUACGCCUGGAACCCUUUAACUCCCGGUAGCCGGGUUUUGGUGUGGUGGUUAUGGUUAUUGCAACUUUAAUUUUUAUUAAUUCAGACUCUGUUGGUUGUGGUUAUUG